Molecule: ribosomal RNA, 1414 nt
Filed under: Scaphiophryne marmorata (marbled rain frog)
Lineage: Eukaryota; Metazoa; Chordata; Amphibia; Anura; Microhylidae
Description: partial 16S ribosomal RNA
Rfam family: Bacterial large subunit ribosomal RNA
Source: RNAcentral
GCUAAAAACCUAGCUCAAAUUUACGCAAAUGCCACAACCAAACAACUGUAACCAAACAAAACAUUUUAAAUUUUUAGUAAAGGCGAUUGAAAAAUACCUAGAAGCUAUAACAAUAGUGCCGCAAGGGAAAAGUGAAAUAAAAAUGAAAUACCUUUAAAGCAAGACUAAGCAGAGAUUCAACCUCGUACCUUUUGCAUCAUGGUCUAGCUAGUUCAACCAAGCAAAACGCAAUUGUAGUUUGACACCCCGAAACUAGGUGAGCUCCUUCAAAACAGCCUUUAAGGGCCAACCCGUCUCUGUUGCAAAAGAGUGGGAAGAUUUUCAAGUAGAGGUGAUAGCCCCACCGAACCUAGAGAUAGCUGGUUAUUCAGGAAAAGGAUUUAAGUCCUACCUUAAGUUUUUCUAUACCUCAAAAUAUACCAAUAAACUUAAGAGCUAUUCAAAUAAGGUACAGCCUAUUUGAAACAGGAAACAACCUUAAACACAGGGUAAUGAUAUUCUAAACGUGACCAAGUGGGCCUAAAAGCAGCCAACUUUUAAACAGCGUUAAAGCUUCAUCACUUUAUUUAACCAAUAACCUUAAUAUUACAAAACCCUUUAUCACUACUGAAUGACUCCAUAACUAUAUGGAGAACACUAUGCUAGAACUAGUAACAAGAAGAAGACCUCCUCCAAAAUGUAAGUGUAAGCCAAAAUGAACACCUCACUGGCACUUAUCGUCUUUGAACUUAAAGUAGUAACCCCACAAGAAAAUUCUACUCAUACAAACGUUAACCUUACACCAGAACAUUACCGGAAAGAUUAAAAAAAGAGGAAGGAACUCGGCAAAUUUUAACCCCGCCUGUUUACCAAAAACAUCGCCUCCUGAAAUAACUAUAGGAGGUCCAGCCUGCCCAGUGACUAAGUUAAACGGCCGCGGUACCCUAACCGUGCGAAGGUAGCGCAAUCACUUGUUCUUUAAAUGAGGACUAGUAUGAAUGGCAUCACGAGGGUUAUACUGUCUCCCUCUUUCAAUCAGUGAAACUGAUCUUCCCGUGAAGAAGCGGGAAUACAUCUAUAAGACGAGAAGACCCCAUGGAGCUUUAAACUCAGUACCAACUGCCCCCUAAUAUACCCUCCUAAUUAAACAGACAUGGCUACUAGUUUUCGGUUGGGGUGACCGCGGAGCAAAACAAAACCUCCACGAUGAAAGGAAUUAACCUCCUAAUCAAAGAGCUACAUCUCUAAGAAUCAACAAAUUGACAUUUAUUGAUCCAAUUUUUUUGAUCAACGAACCAAGUUACCCUGGGGAUAACAGCGCAAUCCAUUUCAAGAGCCCCUAUCGACAAAUGGGUUUACGACCUCGAUGUUGGAUCAGGGUAUCCCAGUGGUGCAGCCGCUACUAAAGGUUCGUUUGUUCAACGAUUAAAACCCU